This 2053-nucleotide long non-coding RNA is filed under the name Homo sapiens (human). RNAcentral describes it as "HSALNT0373486". The record is from RNAcentral. Lineage: Eukaryota; Metazoa; Chordata; Mammalia; Primates; Hominidae.
CAGCAGCUCCCUUGGUAGGGGCAUGCAGAAGACCUGAUGACACAAACCCUCCAAAGAGUUUCACCCUCACCACAACAGGUGGCUUCCUGCUCGGCAGCCCAUCCUGCAUCACUUCAGUGGACUUCUCUGACAUCUACUAGACCACAUUAAAUGAAUCACAGCCUUGAAACUGAACUGGAAGGACUUCCUUCAAGGAGCCAGCAUAUGAACUUGCUGCCUAUCUUUAGCAAGGAGAUGCAAAUGACAUCCACAAACCUCUUCUGCUGUAUACCUGGAUGAAAGCAAGGCUAGCUGUGUGUCCUAUGGCACCAAGGACUGAAAGAUUGUAAGAAGUAAGAGGGAAAGUGAUCCAAAAAGGUGGAACACCUAAUGUACAGCCCCAAGGAAGGAGCAUACUUGGAGAAUUCAAGGAACAGAAAGAAAAACAGGAAGGCUGGAGUGAAACUGAUUAAAUAAAGCAUCGUAACAUUAGAGGUCCAUCAUAGAGGCCAAGCCAAAUACAACUAUGUUUUCAAGCAUAAGAUGGAUAGAUGUGGUAAACCACAAGAAGCAAACAGCCCUUUAGAGGUGUGGAUUGACCUUGCAGAGUUACAAGUGGAGCCAGGAGAAAUCAUGUUGAGUGGGACUUCUCAUCCUACCUAAGAGAGACUAACAGAUGGAAAGCUGGGUACAGAAGGGAGAGAAGGCAGUAACAGUCAGAUUUCAAUACGCUGAGACUGUGACGUGGGACUUUUGAGUGAGUAACAUCUGCUCCUAGAACUGAGUUGAGUGGGGAUCCUCCCACACCACCCAGGCAAGAGAACUAACAAUUGAUGACUGCUCCAAAUCAGUCGCCAGUCUACCUAAUACUUCUACCUGGUAGGUAGCCUGAUACCCACUAACAUCAGACAGAGCCUCACUCUGUCACCCAGGCUGGAGUGCUAGAGUGCAGUGGCAUGAUCAUAGCUCCCUGAAGCCUUGAGCUCCUGGUCCCAAGAGAUCCUCUUGCCUCAGCUUUGCCAGAAGUGCUCUUCCUCUCUGUCCAGUGGGCAAGCACCAAUUCAUUUUCAAACUCUCCACUGAAGCAUCAAUUUUCUGUAAUGCCUUUCUUGACCUCAGAGAUACCUGCAGAAGCACUUAGAGAAUUUCUUCUCUGAUCUUUGCUUUAGAAUACUGUGGUAACAAGUGAAGCAAGGAAAGAAAGUGAUAUGGCAAAAGAUGAAAUAAAAUUGGCAGCAUGUUGAAAUCUUCUGACAUUGUGUGAUGUGAUGCCAGAAGUAGAGCAGCCAUCUUGCAACCACAAAGCAACAGCAUGAGUAUGAAAGUUAGUGCAUUAAGGAUGCUGGAAUAGAAUGAUUGAAAGCCAGAUGCCUAAUGACGUUGCUGAAUAGCUGAAACAAUACCAGCAACUAGCUGGUCUUGCUCUGUUGCCUGGCCUGAAGUGCAGUGGCAUGAUCAUGGCUCACUGCAGCCUCAACCUCCCAGGCACAAGUGAUCCUCCCACCUCAACUUCCAGAAUAUAGAAGCUGGAACUACAGUGACCUACAUCCAAAGUGAAAAGUUAUUCAGCCUCUGAAGAGAAGCAUUUUGUUUGGGGAUCUUCAAGUAUGCUUGUCAGCACCGAGAACUGGAAAAAAAUCUCUGAUUGUCCUGCAGCAAUGGCAUUAAAGGCUCCUCAUAACAUACAGAACCAGAAUUGUGCCAUAAUUUACUGAAAUUGAACAUUGCUCUGUGACUGCUAAUUUUCCAUCGAGAUGAUUCUGUCUCUAACCAAGAAAAGAAAAGUUUGUCUUCCUGACUGCUGACACUGCUGACCAAGCCCACCACCAGAUGCCUGGCUGCACACCCAGAGGGCAGCCGCUUCCCGUGGUCCUCUCGAAGAACUUCCCUUUUGCAAUGCAUGUUUAGCAAGUGGAUGAGUUUGUCUUUUCUGAUUUCUCUGCAAGCUCUGCAUUGCCCACCUGAACCAGUGCUUCAGAAGAACUAAUGGGAUCUCUGACCCUCCAACAUCCUCUUCCAGACUUUCACUUUCCUGGCUCCUUGCAGGGACAUGUAAUAAACGUGCUCUCCAGAG